Molecule: non-coding RNA, 1531 nt
Organism: Camellia sinensis
Lineage: Eukaryota; Viridiplantae; Streptophyta; Magnoliopsida; Ericales; Theaceae
Source: RefSeq, a predicted model, not a curated record
GUUCUAAUUUUUAUGUUUUUGUUAUUGUUUGUAGCCUUUAGUUAUUUAAUGCAGAGGACCAUGUAAUUCUUCCUAAUGGCCUAAAGGUUAGUUAUUUCUAUAGUCCUAUCACAGAAGUUUGAUUGUGGUAUGCUUGUGUAAUUGAAUAAUAUUAAAAUUACAUUUUUGUAAAUAUGUGGAUUGUAAUCCUAACAAUGUUGGGAACAAUCAGGAUUUUAAAACCUUAAAUGAGUUCUUUUCUUUUUUGUGCUUUAAUUGAAAAUUGAAAGAAUGUCAUCUACAUAAAUGAAUUAACUGAAAUAAUCUCGUGGAAAAAACUGCAAUGCUUGAGGAGUAGAUUUCAUUUUCAGAUCCAAAACCUUUUGAUUAUGUAUUGUAGACUGUUCAAUGGAGGUUGUGGUUGAUGAACUAUUUACAAAUGAUUCUUAUUUUUUAUUUUGUAAUUUAGUUUGUUACCUAUUAUGGAUAUUGUCUAUAAUAUUGGAAAAUCUAAUAUGUAAAGAUAAAACUAAUACCAAUAUUGUUGAAUCAAUAUGAUGUGUGUUUCAUGACAAAGAGUAAUACACGUUAAAUAUAGAGAAAAUUAGCCCUUUUCAAAGGAAGGAAUUUGUUAGGAAAAAACAAAGCAUUUUAUUUCAAAGGAAAGAAUAGUUGAAUGUGUUGUGGUCCCACUUUUUGUUUUGUAUUAUGAAUCCAAUUAACGAAAUGUAAUUUUCAUCAAAUGUUCAUUUUUCUGUAUUUAUUUUUAUUACUAUUAUUAUUAUUAUUAUUAUUAUUAUUAUUAUUAUUAUUAUUAUUAUUAUUAUUAUUAUUAUUAUUAUUAUUUUGUGUUAUCAAUUCUAAUUGCAAGUUACAAUGUUUAAAAGAAAGCAUGUUGCUCUCAUUAUGUAAACAGUGAGCACUAACAAGAUGAGUGUCUACAUUAAGACAUGUAGUAGAGGUGAUCCAGAUUAAUAUCUUAUAUUUUUUCUAUGUAUUUUAUAUUUAACAAGAAAUGAUAUCAAUUUGUGCAGAUACUUCAUGCUUCUAGUGGACAUCAACGAGUUAGGGAAUCUUUCGGUGAUGACAUCGAUGACAAUGAGUUGUUGGUUUCUCCCUCUAGCCAAUGAGCGGUUUUCAUAUUUUGAAAGACUCUUGUGGUGCUUUUGUUCUUUCCCACAUGUUCUUUCGUAUCAGCCGACUCUUUUCACAUGUGAGGAGAAAUUUGAUGGAAGUGAAGGUUCCGACGAUGAUUUAAGGCCAACAAAUGGACAUGGAUGAUUAGCCCCUUCACCAAAAGUGACUAGUGACCAUUUUUUUAUAUUUUUUAUAGACGUGAUGUAAUUUGGAUGGCUUCUUUAUGGAGGAUGUUAUGUGGAUGUAAAUUUGAUUUUGGUAAUCCAUGUAUGUGUAGAUUAUUGAUGCGUAAGGUUGUAAAUUUGAUUUUGGAUGCCAAACUAUUCGGCACAAAAUGCAUUCAUAUUGCAAGAGUACAGAGCAAUUGAUUGUGUACCAUUGCCAGCCAAGUUUAAACAAUACAAAUUUACUCCAA